This 125-nucleotide small RNA is filed under the name Marmota monax (woodchuck). The record is from RNAcentral. Lineage: Eukaryota; Metazoa; Chordata; Mammalia; Rodentia; Sciuridae.
GCAGGGUGCGGUGGUGCACGCCUGUCAUCCCAGUGGCUCUGGAGGCUGAGGCAGGAGGAUCGCGAGUUCAAAGCCAGCCUCAGCCAAAGCGAGGCCCUAGGCAACUCAGGGAGACCCUGUCUCUA